This 274-nucleotide ribosomal RNA is filed under the name uncultured eukaryote. RNAcentral describes it as "partial small subunit ribosomal RNA". It matches the Rfam family "Eukaryotic small subunit ribosomal RNA", at positions 587 to 866 of the family's 1831-position model. The record is from RNAcentral.
AGCUCCAAUAGCGUAUAUUAAAGUUGUUGCGGUUAAAAGCUCGUAGUUGGAUUUCUGCCGAGGACGACCGGUCCGCCCUCUGGGUGAGCAUCUGGAUCGGCCUGGGCAUCUUCUUGGGGAACGUAGCUGCACUUGACUGUGUGGUGCGGUAUCCAGGACUUUUACUUUGAGGAAAUUAGAGUGUUUCAAGCAGGCUUCCGCCUUGAAUACAUUAGCAUGGAAUAAUAAUAUAGGACCCUGUCUUUAUUUUGUUGGUUUUGGUAGCUGUGGUAAU